UCCCUGGUGGUCCAGUGGCUAAGACUCCACAUUCUUGAUGCAGAGAACCCAGGUUCAAUCCCUGGUCAGGGAA
Transfer RNA from Ovis aries (sheep), 73 nucleotides. It matches the Rfam family "tRNA". From Rfam's summary of the family: Transfer RNA (tRNA) molecules are approximately 80 nucleotides in length. Their secondary structure includes four short double-helical elements and three loops (D, anti-codon, and T loops). The record is from Rfam. Lineage: Eukaryota; Metazoa; Chordata; Mammalia; Artiodactyla; Bovidae.